AUCUUCCACAAUGGGUGCAAACCUGAUGGAGCAAUGCCGCGUGAAUGAAGAAUGUCUUCGGAUCGUAAAGCUCUGUUAUUAGAGAAGAACAAGUCAAGGAGGAACUGUCUUGACUUUGACGGUACUUAACCAGAAAGACACGGCUAACUACGUGCCAUCUGCCGCGGUAAUACGUAGGUGACAAGCGUUGGCCGGAAUUACUGGGCGUAAAGGGAGGGCAGGCAGUUGGAAUAGUCUGAUGUGAAAGCCAACGGGUUAACCGUGGAAGGUCAUUGGAAACUGUCCAACUUGAAUGAAGAAGAGGUAAGUGGAAUUCCAUGCGUAGCGGUGAAAUGCGUAGAUAUAUGGAGGAACACCAGUGGCGAAGGAGACUUACUGGUCUGUGAUUGACGCUGAGGCUCGAGAGCGUGGGUAGCGAACA
Molecule: ribosomal RNA, 421 nt
Filed under: uncultured bacterium
Lineage: Bacteria
Description: partial 16S ribosomal RNA
Rfam family: Bacterial small subunit ribosomal RNA
Source: RNAcentral